This 29-nucleotide non-coding RNA is filed under the name Mus musculus (house mouse). Lineage: Eukaryota; Metazoa; Chordata; Mammalia; Rodentia; Muridae. The record is from RNAcentral.
UAACUAAGACUAUGUAUGCCUUGCAGCCU